Molecule: long non-coding RNA, 724 nt
Filed under: Brassica napus (rape)
Lineage: Eukaryota; Viridiplantae; Streptophyta; Magnoliopsida; Brassicales; Brassicaceae
Description: long non-coding RNA (BNAP_LNC026044)
Source: RNAcentral
CAUUUAUUACUUCUCAAAAUUCAACUCCAAACCAGAAAUCCAAUAAAUAGCCAUAAAUCCAAAUAACAUAAUAAAUCUCGAAAAUAUCGGUAAAAGCAUAAAACCACAAGUCUGAAAAAAAAAGUAAAUAAAACUCCCAAAGCACCAGUCUGAUAGCAAUCACUUAUGCUCGUCAGUCUCACCUGAAAGGGAAAGGAAUAGAAGGGGUGAGUAACAGGGGAGUUACUCCGUGAGGUAUGGGAUGCUAAACACACAAACCACUGACUUGAGUAAAUAGAACUCCCACUAUGGAAGUUUAGCUCUAACAUGAACACACACGACGCCUAGCGCAUCACACAAACACAAACAAUGCGAUGAUAGCAUAUAGCUAGUCCAUACACCCCCAUCUCCUCAUAUGGAUACAUAAUACGUAGCGUCGCUAGUACAAUAAGUCUCUGUACCCCCGCCCUCUCAAGUAGCAUCCAUGGUACAAACGUCUCUGCACCACACGCCCGCACAAGUAGCAUCGCAAGUCCAGACGUCUCUGAACCCCUGCCCGCACAAGUAAAAUAGCGUCGCUAGCCCAGACAUCUUUGAGCCCCCGCCCGCGCACAUAGUCCCUACUCAUAACUAUGUGUACAUACAUAUAUAUACCGCAUUUCUUAACAUCACACAAUCCAAUCAAAGGUUGAAUCCUCUAGACCCUUAGUUCCAGUUCACAAUGAAUGAACUAACUUACAAUCAA